RNAcentral lists this unclassified non-coding RNA (4814 nucleotides) under Homarus americanus (American lobster). RNAcentral's name for it is "post-GPI attachment to proteins factor 6-like, transcript variant X1". The record is from RNAcentral. Lineage: Eukaryota; Metazoa; Arthropoda; Malacostraca; Decapoda; Nephropidae.
GAGUGAAAUAAACUAAAAGGUCUUUAUGAAAUCUUAGUGUGUCGAUAAAUGACCAAAGGAACAAUAAUUGGGUUAAUGUCAUAUCACAGGAAUACAAAGAACGUUAUUUUUUUUUUUGUGUAGAGAAGUAUUGAAAAAUUAAAAUUCAUUUGUCCAAUUUUAUAACCUAGCAUUAAAAAAUGUCUUUCUUAGAAAAAUGACGAGGAUAUUAUAGGCACCCUUGAUAGGCACUGGCGUUAUUGUCUGGACUUUACCAAUGUUUUUUACUCCUGUACUUGGCGUGUUCUCGCUCAACACCAUGGCAAUUGGUUCAGACUUCAGGUAGCAUUGUUUAGCGGAGUGGUGAACUAAUAAUGCAUUGACAGCAUUUGGCUUGAUUCCACCAAUAAUUGUAUCUUGAAAAGUAAAACAGUCUAGAUGAAAUACAUGAAAAUUCCAAGUGUCGGGUAUAGGCGUUGCUGGACAUUGUUAUGAGUAGAACCAAACGAUUUUUACGAAUUAUAAUAUAGAUGAAAACGGGCGAUUGUGAGGAAGUAUUGACGUGAUGGAAUUCUUUGUUGUUAAUGAUGCGCCUCUACUGCAUCAUCUGUUUGUGUGUUGUUGAUAGCAGAAGCUGUUGCCUCCGAGGCUCCUGUCUGUAGGAGGUGUCAAUCACACCCACCCGGCGGUGCCGCGGUACUAGUCAUGUAUAACACCAUGGGAAUCUGGUAACUGUGUGAUCACCAUUUCUAACUUUAGUAAUAUGGUGCUAUUAUCUUCAAGAAACGUGCAUACAGAGUCCCUAUAGCCUCCCCUGGAGGCUCACAAUGGUCAUGUGUGGUAGUUGGCGUCGAAUGUGGCUGGGGAGGACAAUGUCCUUACCCUUCUUCGUUUUCCUCUGUCAACCUAUUCUGUCCACUGCCAAUUACCCGUCAGACCAGAAACUAAGUGCCGAAGGAGGGACGGUGCUACGUGAGGUGCUGGCAGGACGGCAGGUGUACGUUUACCGCUCCUAUAAGGAUGUUCAGAUCUUCCACUUCUCAGUUCCUCAACAUGUGUCUACAGCUCUAUAUAAUUUCACUGCCAAUGACACCCUGGCCUGUGAUCCUCGCAGCAUUACUGUUUAUCUACAAGCCCAGAGCUACCCAGUAGUCAAUCCUGAUGGUGCAGAAUUUCCACCUGGACUGUGGGUGAAUCGCUCUCAGGUGUAUGAGGUGCAUCUGCGUUCAGAUUUGAAACCCUCUUAUCUAUCCGUCCCAUACCCGGUGACUGGUGAUUGGUUUAUGGUUGCAUUUAUCAAUGAAACGUCCAACCGAAUCACACAAGCAGGUCUGUUUCCAUCAUGUCACUCAUGGCUGCAGGCAGAAGUAACUUACAGACAAGAAAAUGACAUUGUCACUGUUGUGCCUGAAAUACAUUCCCACCAAGAGAUACAACUCUACCAGAAAGUUGAAGGUUCUCAGUAUUAUAGAUUCUACGUACCAUCAUCAACAUGGUUGGUGUUUGUGAAUAUCAGUAAUUGUGUGGUUCUUGAGGAUGAAAAUAUGCCUUCAUGCCCUGUAAAUAUUUCCUUUAGAGCACGAGCACUGCCAAGCCCCAAUUCCACAGAUACAGUGAUUCACAAAUGUGAUGAGGAAGGUGUUGGUGAUGUAUGCACAAUGCAAGUAGUACCGGAGGAGGAAACAUGGCAUUAUGUAAGGCUUACGACACCACCUGGCACAUCUGUUCAACUCAGCAUGGCUGUUAAAUUUUACUUAUGUGAUGACACAGGAGGAAGCAGUUAUCAUCUCCUAAGUAAGCUGAACCUAAACCAGUUGUGUCCAGAGGAAAGAUAUAGUACUCCAAUCUCUUCAUAUUUCAACUACCCAUCAAAUAACACAGAUGAGAUAAGCAAUGGAACAGUCACCACUAAAGAGCAAGUACAGUCACGUCGCAUCCUCUUCAUGCCUGCUAUGAAUACCAAGCAGCUGACUGAGGAGAACUGUUGGCCAAGGCACAGACUUGUCAAAAAAACAUUUGGAGGAAACUUUGUGUUUGAGUAUGACUUGCCACCUGAUGAGAAUGACUCUGUACCUCUUCUCUUAAACAUUACCAAUGCUUCCCCAACACUGCUUACAUUUAACCUUGAGCCCAUUAUUGACAUAGGAGGAACAGUUUCAGUGGAACUGGCUAUUUCUCCAUUUAUGAACAUAAGUAAGCACAAUUUUAGUGUAGCUGGAUGUGUUUCCCUUGGAAUACGUGAAGAAGCAGAUGUGAAUGGUGAAUGUUCCCAAGGCUACAGUCUCCUAGUCAAUACUUCCAGUCUAAAUGAUGCUGCUGCUUUGGUGUUAAUACCAUUCCCAGAGCCUGGGCCUUGGUUCCUUACUCUCAGCCCAGGAUGUUAUCUAAGCAAUGCCAGUGAAGUUGUGGGGUGUAGUGUGAAUGUGACGACAGUGAUUUUUGGUGUGACGUCAGCAUCAUGUUUACAAGGAAAAUGUGGGAGAUAUGGCUCUUGCUACCAGUAUAUAUCUGGUGGCUUCAUAUUCUCCACGUGUGUUUGUGAUGCAGGUUAUCGUGGUUGGGGAUGUACGGACAGUUCUGAGGCCACACCCAACUGGAAACUUCUGCUUGCCACCCUGUUACUCACACUAUCAAAUCUCUUCUUCCUGCCAGCCAUCUUCCUUGCCCUUAAACGUCGAUAUUUUGCUGAGGCCAUUGUUUAUGCAUUCACCAUGGUUUUUUCUACGUUCUACCACGCAUGUGACCAGGAAGCAUACAACUUCUGUCUCAUGCGACUCAGUGUCAUGCAGUUUUGUGACUUCUACUCAGCCAUAUUCUCGUUCUGGGUUACUCUCAUCGCUAUGGCAGACCUCCCACACUCUCUCUACUCUUUGCUGCAUGUUGCUGGUGCGCUGAUUGUUGCAUUGGGGGUUGAGUAUGACCGCACUGGGCUGUGGGUAUUUGUAGUGCCAUCUGCCUCUGCUUUUGUCAUCAUGGCAUCAUCUUGGGUUUGGCAUUGUAAACAUCAAAGAGGAUGCUACCCCAGCAGGCACUACUGGCUGACUUGUCUCCUCCCGGGAGUGCUGUUGGCUGCCUCAGGGCUCAUCUGCUAUGCGUUCUUUGAAACCCAUGACAACUACUACUAUGUGCACUCUGUGUGGCAUGCCACUAUGGCCCUGGCUAUACUGUGCCUCCUGCCACCUCGCAGGGAGAAAGAUGGAUGUGACGUAGGUUUACGAUUGUAUGGCCCGACACUUAUAGCGGGGAGCAUUUAGUGUUACUCCUGUUCAUCCAAAUGAAAUGUCCUUUCCAUUCAUUCAUCCGAGAAAAGCUGCACAAAUGGAAGCAUCUUCUCAGAGACCCAUCCUUCUUCCCAGCCUGACCUGAGGGCCUACAGGUCAACUGAAACUGAGCAUGACCCUCUUCCUAGUCUUCAGAUGUCCUCACCCUGAUUGGUAGAUGUCAUCAUUAUCACCCUUUAUCCUGACAAACAUUAUUUUAUUCUUGUUUUACAUAAUCUUUCAAACCAACACCUUUCUGUUUAACCUGCCAUAUUACUUAUCUCUGCUAAAUAUCCAGGUACUAACCUAGCCAAACUAAUCCAUCACUAACAAAGCUGCAUUGAAACUUUUGGUAGAAACUGAACCGCACUGUUAACUGUCUGGUGAGACUACAUCCCAUCCUGGUAAUGGCUCCCUUUUCCCCUCAGAGAAAUUAGAUAAUAUACAGAGUAUCCUAGUGAUUUACACACACGAGCAAUUAUUUUUUUAACAUGACUAAAAUUACAUUUCCCUGACUUCUACACUAAAGACACUCAUAGUUUUGUAUUUACAUGUUUGACUUUGAUGACUUUAUCCCACUAUUUUAUUUUUUUAUCUGCAUUAUCAAUAUUAAUUAUUUUUUUAGACAGCCUAUACCGGGUAGUUGUUAGUAUUCAAGGUUGACUGAAAGCAAGAUUUUCAAGUGUUUCUAUAAACAGUGACACGAGUUUGGCAGCAUUCAUGAGUGGUCAGAUUGGUAGCACUGUACUGUAUCUUUAGAGACUAUAAACUUGUUUUGUUUCAUAUAUUAAAUAUUAUACUAGUACGAUAUAACUUAUAUUGGAAGAGAUAAAUCUAUUUAUUUCAAAUCUAUAUCAUGUAUUUCUAAUUCAUGUUUUAAGUAAAUAUAUGUUUUCAAACUGUAUAGCACAUAAGACUCAUGGAUUUCCAUAUCUCUCGUCUUCCUGCUCCCUCAUGUGCUAUUAGAGAUUUUGUCUAGCAAGAAGAGUGUGAGAGAAGAGAGCUGAUGCAUGGUUGUUUAGAACUGUGAAUGGAAUGCAUGAUGGAUGUGAUGAUCUAUUUUGAGCUAUAGAAAAUAUUUUUAAGAAAUUUUCCUUUUUUGAAACUCAGGGAAAAAUUAACAACAAUGAGAGACUGUUCUUUGGUGAGUCUAAUUGUGUGAACUCGGUAAAAACGUUUGUAGUAUCCUCUUCAUGGAUGAAUGAUUGUAUUGAUGAACUUGGUAAAGAGUAUAUAUUUUGAGUGUAUUAAAAGAUCCAACUAGGUGAUUCCAUCACACAUUUCUCUUGUCCAUUUUUGGCCUUAAUAGUGUUCAAUGAACAUUCCAUCCACAGGCAUGCACAACUGUACUAGUCAAUAAUUAUGUCUAAUGCUGACCUACAAUAUUGUUAAUAUUUGUAGGGCUCUAAUUUUAAGCAAUUACCUGACAAAGGAAAGAAUAUAAUUAAUUGUCCUUUGUUUAUCACCAAUGGUUAAUGUUUGUUUUCAGUGUUUGUAGGUGUCCACUAGUUUUGAACAUUAAUAGUAUAAUCUUUUAAAUGUUCAAAAAAACUUGUGAUAAAUACAUGGCAAAAU